GCCUUGGUGGCGCAGCCGGGUGCGCGGAUGACUAUCAAUCCUGGGGUCUCUGGUUCGACCCCCACCAAGGCA
This is a non-coding RNA of Caenorhabditis brenneri, 72 nucleotides long. NCBI's taxonomy places the organism in Eukaryota, Metazoa, Nematoda, Chromadorea, Rhabditida, Rhabditidae. The record is from the annotation of a GenBank genome assembly.